AAACAAUCAUCAAACUAGAUUAUAGAACAUCAAAGACUUCGGCCAUUUAAUCAGGCAUUUUGUCAAACACUUAAGACGCAGUAACUAGGGGGUAAACAUAGAUUCGAUCGGGGCUCGGGUUCAGGCCAAGAUCAUCACAUGAUUCACAAACGCUAUUCUGGAUCGACUCGGGAACAAGUUUAUCAGCAUAUACCUUGAGUUUAAACCAAAAUGACAAGUCUCGGCCAUAACACCAAACACAAACAGAUAUUUGCAUUAAGCACUACAAAAAGCACACGUAUGCUGUGGGAGGAAUGAACACGAGCACAACGGAGUUUCGGGCGGGGAUCGGGACUGAAGCUCGUGCGAACUGGUCGACCACAAGCUUCAGCCCGACGCCCCACCAAAACAGGGCAGACGUACUCGGGAAUGACCCACCUGGUUCAAAGGGGAGCGCCGCGGUGGACGACGACUCUCGGGCAGACGACCGGUGACGGCGAAGCUGUCCUUCAGUCUUGCUCUCUCCCUUUAGCUCGUCCUCUACCCUCUCGAGCUCUCUCUCCGGUCUCUCUCUUAAGCCCCUUGUUCUCUCUCCACCAACGAACCAGUCAAGACGCCCCCCCUUCCUUUUUUCUCCCCCCUUCCGGUUUUAUACUCGGCCGGCAAGCGCGCAUGGCCUCUGCGGCUGCCAGCUUGCCGGCCGAAUGCCUCCUUCGACCCGCGGAUCACGCCGCUCACCUGCCACACCGAUC
Molecule: long non-coding RNA, 731 nt
Filed under: Eucalyptus grandis
Lineage: Eukaryota; Viridiplantae; Streptophyta; Magnoliopsida; Myrtales; Myrtaceae
Description: long non-coding RNA (EGRA_LNC004383)
Source: RNAcentral